Nicotiana tabacum (common tobacco) is the source of this 251-nucleotide long non-coding RNA. RefSeq lists it as uncharacterized. NCBI's taxonomy places the organism in Eukaryota, Viridiplantae, Streptophyta, Magnoliopsida, Solanales, Solanaceae. The record is from RefSeq and is a predicted model, not a curated record.
UAAAGAUGAAGAAAACAAUCAUUCUCUCAAAUUCUCUCAAAACUGCUUUUGGUCAUAUUCAAGACAAUAAAAGAGAAAAAUAGACGUUGCUUCUCUUUGUUUCUGAAGCCUGACGCUUGAUUGAGAUGCCUUUUCUGGGGAACCUUCGGUGAUGAUUUUUAAAUAACAAGGGGAUUACAAAUAAAAACAAAUGACGUCUCGAAAAUAAGAAUGCGGUUAGUCCAAGAAGAAAACAUCACUUCAAAUUCUGA